Long non-coding RNA from Phodopus roborovskii (desert hamster), 392 nucleotides. RefSeq lists it as uncharacterized. The record is from RefSeq and is a predicted model, not a curated record. Lineage: Eukaryota; Metazoa; Chordata; Mammalia; Rodentia; Cricetidae. The transcript is spliced from 2 exons.
ACAGGAACCAGAUGGGGAUGAACCGUCAGAGAGCUCCUUGAGUGCUUCCGGUCUUGGAGCCAUCAAGAAGCAUAAAGAAGGAAUGCUAAGGAAAAGCGCCAAGCUCUUCUUCCGUCGGCGACACCAGCAGAAAGACCCAGGCAUGAGCCAGUCACAUAACGAUCUGGUAUUCCUGCAACAGCCCGGAGGGGAAGCUGAAGAAGGGGGCAACUCUCAGCAGGCUCUUGAACAAGAAGUUGCUUCCCAGGCACAGAGGCAAACACACCGUGAAUGAAGCAUCCAGAGAUCCCUGCACAUAGCUUGAGUCACCCCAGUCCUCAAAGCUGGAGGAUGGGACCACAAAGGCCCCCACCAGAACAGUGGAACCAGUGAAAUCAGAUUCGUGCAUUGUC